AUGCAUGUCUAAGUACAGUCGUGUUCACACGACGAUACCGCGGACGGCUCAUUAAAUCAGUCGUGGUCUAAAUGGGUCCGUCCUCACGGUAUACUUGGAUAACCGUGGUAAUUCCAGAGCUAAUACAUGCAACUCAUAUCCAGAGGUGCGCAAGCACCGACGGAAGCACUUAUUAGACCAAUGCCCUCGGCGCCGCGCACCUUGCGUGCGCGCGUCGCCACUCGCAUAAAUGGUGACUCUGGAUAAUUACCUGGACGAGCGCACGUAUCUGUUCAAACAGAACGGCGCCGCCUCUUUCGAGUGUCUGCCUUAUCAGCCAUCAAUCGCUCGUUAUGUGCGAACGAUGGCCUUGACGGGUAACGGRGAAUCAGUGUUCGAUUCCGGAGAGGCAGCCUGAGAAACGGCUACCACGUCCAAGG
RNAcentral lists this ribosomal RNA (419 nucleotides) under Orchestia mediterranea. Its description in RNAcentral is "bacterial SSU rRNA". It matches the Rfam family "Eukaryotic small subunit ribosomal RNA", at positions 51 to 423 of the family's 1831-position model. Lineage: Eukaryota; Metazoa; Arthropoda; Malacostraca; Amphipoda; Talitridae. The record is from RNAcentral.